RNAcentral lists this transfer RNA (64 nucleotides) under Bathymodiolus sp. 5 South. RNAcentral's name for it is "tRNA-His". The record is from RNAcentral. Lineage: Eukaryota; Metazoa; Mollusca; Bivalvia; Mytilida; Modiolidae.
UUUGAGUUAGUUUAUUAAAACAUUAGUUUGUGGCACUAAAAAUGCUCCAUGGGAGUACUUUAAA